Brassica napus (rape) is the source of this 1153-nucleotide long non-coding RNA. RefSeq lists it as uncharacterized. Lineage: Eukaryota; Viridiplantae; Streptophyta; Magnoliopsida; Brassicales; Brassicaceae. The transcript is spliced from 2 exons. The record is from RefSeq and is a predicted model, not a curated record.
AAAUUCGUUGCAAAGAUUUCCUUGUAAAUUCGUUGUAAUGCUCCCUUGCAAAUUCGUUGUAACUCUAAAAACGCGGGCCUGGUAGAUUUGUCGUAAACAUGUGUCCUUGUAAAUUCGUUGUAAUUCUUUCUUUGUAAAUUCGUUGUAAUGCUUUCCUUGUGAAUUCGUUGUAACUUUACAAGGAUUUUUUUCACGAAACAUGUUACCAUUAUUUUUGGUGAAAACGUGUUUAAGCUGUUUUACCAAACUGAUUUUGUUGUAAGCAUUCUCAAGCCAAGCAAGUUAACUUCAUUUCAUACCCUCGGUUUAGAGAUUACAGAAUAAUUUGAUUAUUUGCUAUCAAGUGGUUGUUUGAUUAUAGUACUUAUAACUUGCGUUUUAAGGAUUCAAUUGGAGUUUAGGGUUUAAGAAAAAAUAUGAUAAAGGGGAUGAUGUGGUAAAAGGGUAUGGUGUAAAUAGAUAAGUGAUUUUGGGGUUUAGGGAUUUGAUUUUUGGGGUUUCAGAUAUAGUCCUAGUAAAUUCGUCGUAAUAGAAAACACACGGGCCUGGUAAAUUCCUCGUAAUACAUGUGUCCUUGUAAAUUCGUUGUAAUGCUUUCCUUGUAAUUUCAUUGUAAAGCUUUCCUUGUAAAGUCGUCGUAAAAUUUUCCUUGUAAAUUCGUCGUAAAUAUUCCUUGUAAAUUCGUUGUAAUUCUAAAAACGCGGACCUGGUAGAUUCCUUGUAACACUAAAAACGCGGGUCUGGUAGAUUCCUCGUAAAAUUACGACGACUUUACGAGGAAUGUUGUUUUCUUAUAUAAACUCGAAACAUGAAUGAGGAAUUCCUCCUUCAUUCAUCUCAAACCACUCCUCUCCUUCUCUCAAAGGUGGCUCCUAAAAAGAUGGAACUGACGGUAUGAAUAAGCUUCAUCAAUGAAGCCACAAGGACGACUUCAUCCUACUCUUCGAGACGGAACCCAUAGAUGAAGUACGAGACUCUCCAGGAAGAAACACCUCCAACAACUACUUCGACGGCAUUAUCCCUUAGCUUUUUAUUUUUCAAUUUUUUUUUGUUUUCUAUUAUUAAUUUGAAUAUUAUUUUAUGACAUUUAUAUAUUUUUUAAAAAAAUAUUUUAAUUUUCAAUAUUUUAUUUUAUAAAUUAUAUAUUUUGAUU